AUGGCUGUGAUGCAAGAGGAGUUUGACGCCCUGUUGCGCAACCAGGCGUGGCAGCCUGUUCCCCGUCCCCGGCACGCCAACGUGAUUACCGGGAAGUGGGUCUUUAAACACAAGCUCCGUCCUGAUGGUACCCUUGAUCGCUACAAAGCGCGCUGGGUCGUUCAUGGCUUCCGACAGCGUGCUGGCAUCGACUUCACCGACACCUUCGCUCCGGUUGUCAAGCCCGGCACGAUACGCACGGUUCUCCACCUUGCGGUCUCCCGUGCUUGGCCGGUGCACCAGAUGGACGUCUCCAACGCCUUCCUCCAUGGUCACCUCGAGGGGCAGGUCUUCUGCCAGCAGCCCACCGGGUUUGUUGACCCGGCGCUUCCCGACCACGUGUGCCUGCUUUCGCGGUCCUUGUACGGACUCAAGCAGGCUCCGCGCGCUUGGUACCAGCACAUCGCGGCGUUUCUCCACCAGCUUGGGUUCCGCUCUACCCGCUCGGAUGCCUCGCUCUUCGUCAAUCAUCAGGGCUCUGACACGGCCUACUUGCUGCUUUAUGUCGACGACAUCAUCCUGACGGCAUGUACGGCUGGUCUCCUCAGUCAGCUCACGGCUCGUCUUCGUGCUGAGUUCGCCAUCAAGGACUUGGGUCCUUUGCACUACUUCCUCGGUAUCGAGGUGGUGCACCGUCCGGAUGGCUUCUUCCUUCAUCAGCGGAAGUAUGCUCACGAGCUCCUCGAGCGCGCUGGCAUGCUUAACUGUAAGCCCGCCGCUACGCCUGUUGAUACGAAGGCCAAGCUUUCUGCCACGGUUGGUUCUCCUGCUUCGGAUGCUGCUUUCUAUCGGUCUAUCGUUGGUGCUCUCCAGUACCUCACUCUGACUCGACCGGAGAUCCAGUAUGCCGUGCAGCAGGUGUGUCUUCAUAUGCAUGCUCCUCGAGACGUUCACUGGGAUGUUGUCAAGCGGACUCUCCGCUAUAUCUGUGGCACUAUGGAUCUUGGCGUCACGCUUCACGCCUACUCCAAUGCAGACUGGGCGGGCUGCCCUGACACUCGUCGCUCCACUUCGGGCUAUUGUGUCUAUCUUGGACCCUCACUCAUCUCGUGGUCGUCCAAGCGGCAGCCUACGGUUUCUCGUUCCAGUGCUGAGGCUAAGUAUCGUGCGGUAGCCAACGCCAUCGCCGAGUGUUCGUGGCUUCGCCAACUGCUUCAGGAGCUCUCUUGCCCUGUUGAUCGUGCCACGGUGGUCUACUGCGACAACGUCUCGGCGGUCUACCUCUCCGCUAACCUGGUGCAUCAUCGACGGACCAAGCAUAUUGAGUUGGAUAUUCAUUUUGUUCGGGAACAGGUUGCCCUUGGCCAUAUUCGUGUUUUGCAUGUCCCUACUUCCCAACAAUUUGCCGAUAUCAUGACCAAGGGCUUGCCUACGGCGUCAUUUGAGGAGUUCCGGUCCAGUCUUUGCGUCAGCCGCGGUGCCGCUUCGACUGCGGGGGAGUGA
This 1482-nucleotide ribosomal RNA is filed under the name Triticum aestivum (bread wheat). Its description in RNAcentral is "partial small subunit ribosomal RNA". The record is from RNAcentral. Lineage: Eukaryota; Viridiplantae; Streptophyta; Magnoliopsida; Poales; Poaceae.